CCUACGGGAGGCAGCAGUGAGGAAUAUUGGUCAAUGGACGCAAGUCUGAACCAGCCAUGCCGCGUGCAGGAAGACGGCUCUAUGAGUUGUAAACUGCUUUUGUACAAGGGUAAACGCAGAUACGCGUAUCUGUCUGAAAGUAUCGUACGAAUAAGGAUCGGCUAACUCCGUGCCAGCAGCCGCGGUAAUACGGAGGAUUCAAGCGUUAUCCGGAUUUAUUGGGUUUAAAGGGUGCGUAGGCGGGCUGUUAAGUUAGAGGUGAAAUCCCGAGGCUCAACUUCGGAAUUGCCUCUGAUACUGUCAGGCUAGAGAGUAGUUGCGGUAGGCGGAAUGUAUGGUGUAGCGGUGAAAUGCUUAGAGAUCACACAGAACACCGAUUGCGAAGGCAGCUUACCAAGCUACCUCUGACGUUGAGGCACGAAAGUGUGGGGAGCAAACAGGAUUAGAUACCCCAGUAGUC
This 460-nucleotide ribosomal RNA is filed under the name uncultured bacterium. Its description in RNAcentral is "partial 16S ribosomal RNA". It matches the Rfam family "Bacterial small subunit ribosomal RNA", at positions 338 to 795 of the family's 1533-position model. The record is from RNAcentral.